UGGGGAAUUUUGGACAAUGGGCGAAAGCCUGAUCCAGCAAUGCCGCGUGUGUGAAGAAGGCCUUCGGGUUGUAAAGCACUUUUGUCCGGAAAGAAAUCCUUGGCUCUAAUACAGUCGGGGGAUGACGGUACCGGAAGAAUAAGCACCGGCUAACUACGUGCCAGCAGCCGCGGUAAUACGUAGGGUGCAAGCGUUAAUCGGAAUUACUGGGCGUAAAGCGUGCGCAGGCGGUUUGCUAAGACCGAUGUGAAAUCCCCGGGCUCAACCUGGGAACUGCAUUGGUGACUGGCAGGCUAGAGUAUGGCAGAGGGGGGUAGAAUUCCACGUGUAGCAGUGAAAUGCGUAGAGAUGUGGAGGAAUACCGAUGGCGAAGGCAGCCCCCUGGGCCAAUACUGACGCUCAUGCACGAAAGCGUGGGGAGCAAACAGGAUUAGAUACCCUGGUAGUCCACGCCCUAAAACGAUGUCAACUAGUUGUUGGGGAUUCAUUUCCUUAGUAACGUAGCUAACGCGUGAAGUUGACCGCCUGGUGAGUACGGUCGCAAGAUUAAAACUC
RNAcentral lists this ribosomal RNA (555 nucleotides) under uncultured bacterium. RNAcentral's name for it is "partial 16S ribosomal RNA". It matches the Rfam family "Bacterial small subunit ribosomal RNA", at positions 355 to 902 of the family's 1533-position model. The record is from RNAcentral.